UCAGAUUGAACGCUGGCGGCAGGCCUAACACAUGCAAGUCGAACGGUAACAGGAAGCAGCUUGCUGCUUUGCUGACGAGUGGCGGACGGGUGAGUAAUGUCUGGGAAACUGCCUGAUGGAGGGGGAUAACUACUGGAAACGGUGGCUAAUACCGCAUAACGUCGCAAGACCAAAGAGGGGGACCUUCGGGCCUCUUGCCAUCAGAUGUGCCCAGAUGGGAUUAGCUUGUUGGUGAGGUAACGGCUCACCAAGGCGACGAUCCCUAGCUGGUCUGAGAGGAUGACCAGCCACACUGGAACUGAGACACGGUCCAGACUCCUACGGGAGGCAGCAGUGGGGAAUAUUGCACAAUGGGCGCAAGCCUGAUGCAGCCAUGCCGCGUGUAUGAAGAAGGCCUUCGGGUUGUAAAGUACUUUCAGCGGGGAGGAAGGUGUUGUGGUUAAUAACCGCAGCAAUUGACGUUACCCGCAGAAGAAGCACCGGCUAACUCCGUGCCAGCAGCCGCGGUAAUACGGAGGGUGCAAGCGUUAAUCGGAAUUACUGGGCGUAAAGCGCACGCAGGCGGUCUGUCAAGUCGGAUGUGAAAUCCCCGGGCUCAACCUGGGAACUGCAUUCGAAACUGGCAGGCUUGAGUCUUGUAGAGGGGGGUAGAAUUCCAGGUGUAGCGGUGAAAUGCGUAGAGAUCUGGAGGAAUACCGGUGGCGAAGGCGGCCCCCUGGACAAAGACUGACGCUCAGGUGCGAAAGCGUGGGGAGCAAACAGGAUUAGAUACCCUGGUAGUCCACGCCGUAAACGAUGUCUACUUGGAGGUUGUGCCCUUGAGGCGUGGCUUCCGGAGCUAACGCGUUAAGUAGACCGCCUGGGGAGUACGGCCGCAAGGUUAAAACUCAAAUGAAUUGACGGGGGCCCGCACAAGCGGUGGAGCAUGUGGUUUAAUUCGAUGCAACGCGAAGAACCUUACCUGGUCUUGACAUCCACAGAAGAAUCCAGAGAUGGAUUUGUGCCUUCGGGAACUGUGAGACAGGUGCUGCAUGGCUGUCGUCAGCUCGUGUUGUGAAAUGUUGGGUUAAGUCCCGCAACGAGCGCAACCCUUAUCCUUUGUUGCCAGCGGUUAGGCCGGGAACUCAAAGGAGACUGCCAGUGAUAAACUGGAGGAAGGUGGGGAUGACGUCAAGUCAUCAUGGCCCUUACGACCAGGGCUACACACGUGCUACAAUGGCGCAUACAAAGAGAAGCGACCUCGCGAGAGCAAGCGGACCUCAUAAAGUGCGUCGUAGUCCGGAUUGGAGUCUGCAACUCGACUCCAUGAAGUCGGAAUCGCUAGUAAUCGUGGAUCAGAAUGCCACGGUGAAUACGUUCCCGGGCCUUGUACACACCGCCCGUCACACCAUGGGAGUGGGUUGCAAAAGAAGUAGGUAGCUUAACCUUCGGGAGGGCGCUUACCACUUUGUGAUUCAUGACUGGGGUGAAGUCGUAACAAGGUAACCGUAGGGGAACCUGCGGUUGGA
RNAcentral lists this ribosomal RNA (1508 nucleotides) under Salmonella enterica subsp. enterica serovar Enteritidis. Its description in RNAcentral is "bacterial SSU rRNA". It matches the Rfam family "Bacterial small subunit ribosomal RNA". Lineage: Bacteria; Pseudomonadati; Pseudomonadota; Gammaproteobacteria; Enterobacterales; Enterobacteriaceae. The record is from RNAcentral.